This is a long non-coding RNA of Notolabrus celidotus (New Zealand spotty), 1185 nucleotides long. RefSeq lists it as uncharacterized. The transcript has 2 exons. NCBI's taxonomy places the organism in Eukaryota, Metazoa, Chordata, Actinopteri, Labriformes, Labridae. The record is from RefSeq and is a predicted model, not a curated record.
GAUGUAUUUUUUUAUGUUUUAAUUUUCUGUUUGUAUUAAAGAAGUAGUCCGCAGCUCUCACAUUGGCAGCUAAUGCGUCCCAGGCGUCUUUAUGGUCCAACAAGCAGGAAUGAACAGUUCAAGGUGUUUGGUCGGUAGAAGAGCUCCGUCUUCCCCUCUGACACGGCCGCUCUCUGUGAUUUAGACUCAGAUCUCUGGGAGCCUCUUUGAAAGCUGCUACUGGGUAGCAGAUGCUGGACUGGACUCUUUUGUUUUGGACUUUAAGAGCUCUGUGAACUCCUGCAGUGAAAGAUCCCGUGUACACCCUCUUGUACCUGCUGAAGACCUCUGAGCCUGCUGCCAGACUCCCUCACACAUGAUCUGAAUACAACUGGAAGAAGAAGCUUGUAGAGGCUCCCAGCGGACACAUUUCUCCUCUUCCUGUGUGUUCGUCGACCACACGGAGAAGCAGACUCCAGGGACCGUAUGCAGGCCCGGCGGUGCAGGCUGUAGUCGUCUUCUUCACACCUUUAAAUCACAUUCUCUCUGCCUGCUCGCUGCAAAAUGAGAAGCAGAACUUUUGUCUGAGGAGCAGGAGAGGAGAGGGAGACAGAUGGGGAUGUGAAAGACUGAGAGAUGGCAGAGGAGGAGGAGGGAGGGUGUAAGAUGAAUGAUAAGCUGCUGAAGAGCACUUUCUAGUGGCACGACGGAGGACUAGCAAGCUGAGACGCUCACUCCUCUGCUGCUGGAUUUCAAAACAAACAGGCCGUCCCCAGAAAGUAGAGCGCCUCGGAGGACUCUGAGUCGAGCCUGCACGUUGAACUGUUGGUGCCCCGUGGAGAGAAAAGCCAAACCACAAUAAACAAGAUAAUGAAGAUCCUUCCGAGUUCCCAGAAAUGACGGAUUCAACAUGGCGGCCUGUCUGCUGUAAAUUUAGAUCUGGAAUAAAAGUGUUUGUAAUUCAGAGAGCAACAGUGAAGUAAACACUAACAGACAGCGACGAUGAACUUCGCUCCCAGAGGACGAAGAGUUCAACUGAGUGAGCUGAGGGUUUUUCUCUGAUAGACGAGUUUUCAGAAACGUGGACCUGUGUUAGCUCUCAAUGCUACGUCUGCUCAGUCAAAAGCUCAUUAACACGGCCGUGUCAGAUAACCUUAUACCACUGCAACAAAUCAAUCAGAGCUGAUCAAUAAAGCAUCAAUGUCA